UACGUAGGGGGCUAGCGUUGUCCGGAAUCAUUGGGCGUAAAGCGCGCGUAGGCGGCCAGAUAAGUCCGGUGUGAAAGUCACAGGCUCAACCUGUGAAUGCCGCUGGAAACUGUCUGGCUAGAGUCCGGAAGGGGCGAGUGGAAUUCCUGGUGUAGCGGUGAAAUGCGCAGAUAUCGGGAAGAACACCCGUGGCGAAAGCGGCUCUCUGGGACGGUACUGACGCUGAGACGCGAAAGCGUGGGGAGCGAACAGG
RNAcentral lists this ribosomal RNA (253 nucleotides) under uncultured bacterium. Its description in RNAcentral is "partial 16S ribosomal RNA". It matches the Rfam family "Bacterial small subunit ribosomal RNA", at positions 524 to 776 of the family's 1533-position model. The record is from RNAcentral.